Molecule: non-coding RNA, 638 nt
Organism: Pelobates cultripes (western spadefoot toad)
Lineage: Eukaryota; Metazoa; Chordata; Amphibia; Anura; Pelobatidae
Source: the annotation of a GenBank genome assembly
GCUCGACUUAUCAUAACCCACCUACAUCACUGCUAAUGAAUCAUACAAAGACAAUCGGGGAUAUCUAUUGGUUAUGUGGUGAUAAACAAUUAAGGUCCCAAUUAGCUGGGCAAUGGUGGGGGGAGUGUGCCCUAACUAAAGUCAUAAUGCCUAACCAUAUUAUUCCAGAUGGUAGUCAUAACACAUUAGACCCCACACAUAUACACUCUAGAACCAAACGAGAGACUCCUAUCCGAGGGAGCUUUGACCCCCAUGUGUACAUCGACGCUAUAGGUGUGCCAAGGGGGGUGCCUAAUGAAUUCAAAGCAAGAGAUGAAGUGGCUGCAGGGUUUGAAUCCCUAAUUCCAAUGAUAACUGCCAACAAAAAUGUCAAUUGGAUUAACUACAUCUACUAUAACCAACAGCGCUUUGUCAAUUACACUAGGGAUGCCCUACAGGGCCUGGCAGAGCAACUACAAGCCACCACUCAAAUGACAUUUCAGAACAGAAUGGCCCUAGAUAUGAUUCUAGCUGAGAAAGGGGGUGUAUGUAAAAUCCUCCCUGAGACCAUGACAUGCUGUACAUACAUACCAGACAACACUGGGCCCAAUGGUAAAGUGACUAUGGCCAUAGAGAAGCUGGAUAGUCUUGCAGACGAG